GCGGACGUGGCGGAACUGGUAGACGCGCGGGUCUCAGAAGCCCGUGGGAGCAAUCUCGUGAUGGUUCGAUUCCAUUCGUCCGCACCA
RNAcentral lists this transfer RNA (87 nucleotides) under Acidobacteriota bacterium. Its description in RNAcentral is "tRNA-Leu". It matches the Rfam family "tRNA". From Rfam's summary of the family: Transfer RNA (tRNA) molecules are approximately 80 nucleotides in length. Their secondary structure includes four short double-helical elements and three loops (D, anti-codon, and T loops). The record is from RNAcentral. RNAcentral also lists the same sequence under 3 other names. Lineage: Bacteria; Pseudomonadati; Acidobacteriota.